Molecule: long non-coding RNA, 938 nt
Organism: Lagopus leucura (white-tailed ptarmigan)
Lineage: Eukaryota; Metazoa; Chordata; Aves; Galliformes; Phasianidae
Exons: 2
Source: RefSeq, a predicted model, not a curated record
UGUUCGCUAGAAACAUAAAAAUAUUGUUAAGAAUCUGGGUGAAUCAGGGGAAGCUUUGUUCACCUGUUAUGAGGAGCAUAUCAUCAUAGAAUCAUCAGAGUAUGCAUGGGGAGGAGACCCUCAUCUUGUUCCAACCCCUGCUGUGAGCUAGUUGUCACCCACCAGGUCAGGCUGCCCAAAGCCCCAUCCAGGAGUGGGGCAUCUGCAGAUGUUCUGCAGCCAGCCCUGUGGUGUAGCAGUAUUCCCUGGCUUCUGUAAAUUCCUUGGGGUGGACUUAAAAACAUAGUGUGAUCUGUAAUUGUGUGGAAAACAGCUUCACGUAGGAGGCAACUCUCCAUUCCUUGUAUAUGUGUAUUUUUAAAACAAAGCGCUUAUCUCUGUCCUUUUCCACAGGGUAUUUUACUGCAAGCACACUGCAGGAAAAAAAAAAGCCACAUUAUCAGAAAAACACAUCUACCCAGUAGCAACAUUUCAACUCCUAUCUGUUCCCAGACUUGACAGAAGCGUUGCUGUGAUGUGAUGAGUUGGAAGAGCUCCUGGCUAUUGGCAUCUCAAUAAGUUGAUCAUCCUGUUUGCUCCAGGAAAGAAACUUAUUCACUGCUGCUUCCAAAGGCAUUUCCCCCCCUAAAUGACGACAGGGUUCUUAUCUAGGAUUUGAGCACCCUGAAGAUGCCACUUCUGUGGACACAGGCACUGAUCAGAGAACGAGAGCUGCUCUGUGUGAAGAGAAAGCCCUUCGACUGAGGGCCGAUGGCUGGCUGUGGGCACGGCCCCAGCCUGUGUUGGCUCUGCCACUGCUCGCAGGACCUUCUCCUCUUCCUCAGGGCUGUGCUGAAGGGCAGCUGCAGAACACAAACAGCGAGCACUGGUUUAUUGCAGUCUGCUCAGCAAGGCUGACGGGUCCUGCUCCAAUAAAGUGACUGCAUGCCUCAUGUUAA